GGAGUUGUGGCUCAGUGGUAAAGCACUCGCCUAGCAUGUGUGAGACCCUGGGUUCAAUCCUCAGCACCA
RNAcentral lists this transfer RNA (69 nucleotides) under Marmota marmota marmota (Alpine marmot). It matches the Rfam family "tRNA". From Rfam's summary of the family: Transfer RNA (tRNA) molecules are approximately 80 nucleotides in length. Their secondary structure includes four short double-helical elements and three loops (D, anti-codon, and T loops). The record is from Rfam by way of RNAcentral. Lineage: Eukaryota; Metazoa; Chordata; Mammalia; Rodentia; Sciuridae. RNAcentral also lists the same sequence under 1 other name.